UUGUUAAGACCUUGAGAAGAUACCAGUAGCAAGAUUAUCCCUAUCUUUUUUAGGGCGUUGAAACUUCUGAUUAGAAGGUGCCUUACAAAUUGGAAAUCUUCUUUGUUCUCUAAACCUAACAAUAAUUUUUGUUGAAAUUUAUAAUAAGCUUAAAAUUGAAACUGAGUCUUUUCUACUUUUGUAGAUGCGUCUGGAGUCAAUAUACGCUGUAAAUCAAUUUCUAGAAGAGGUUAUUAAACAUAUGGCGUAUUCACCAACUGGAAUUGGUAUGAAGUCAGAAAUUUAUUCUAAGGUUGGUAGACAAAACGGCUAGUGGUAAUCUUAGAUAUGUUCCUUUUGUUAUGUUAAUGCAGAUUCUUUAAAUUAUUGUAGCUCUAACAGAUGGGAUGAGAACUGAAGGACGUAAGAUCUUUUUUGGUGGAUUAAGCGACUCUAUGGGUGCUAUACAUCUACUGAAACCUACAAACACAUCAAUGAUGGUGUCAAAUUCUCAUCAUGUUCAAGUGAUUUCAUAUAUUUAUGCUUCUAUGAAUCUUUUCCAGGUUCAAAUCAGUAGAUAUGCGAGAAGCAGGUGAACGAUAAAUUUCCGAGAGCUUGAGAGGUAGUGGACUAGAAAUG
RNAcentral lists this long non-coding RNA (618 nucleotides) under Capsella rubella. Its description in RNAcentral is "long non-coding RNA (CRUB_LNC003958)". The record is from RNAcentral. Lineage: Eukaryota; Viridiplantae; Streptophyta; Magnoliopsida; Brassicales; Brassicaceae.